CCUACGGGAGGCUGCAGUGAGGAAUAUUGGUCAAUGGGCGCGAGCCUGAACCAGCCAAGUAGCGUGAAGGAUGACUGCCCUACGGGUUGUAAACUUCUUUUAUAAAGGAAUAAAGUGAGGCACGUGAGCCUUUUUGUAUGUACUUUAUGAAUAAGGAGCGGCUAACUCCGUGCCAGCAGCCGCGGUAAUACGGAGGAUCCGAGCGUUAUACGGAUUUAUGGGGUUUAAAGGGAGCGUAGAGGGGUUGUUAAGUCAGUUGUGAAAGUUUGCGGCUCAACCGUAAAAUUGCAAUUGUUCCUGGCAGCCUUGAGUACAGUUGCGGUUGGCGGAAUUCGUGGUGUCGCGG
This 346-nucleotide ribosomal RNA is filed under the name uncultured bacterium. RNAcentral's name for it is "partial 16S ribosomal RNA". It matches the Rfam family "Bacterial small subunit ribosomal RNA", at positions 338 to 681 of the family's 1533-position model. The record is from RNAcentral.